This 345-nucleotide unclassified non-coding RNA is filed under the name Bombus terrestris (buff-tailed bumblebee). RNAcentral's name for it is "misc RNA ENSBTSG00005037059.1". Lineage: Eukaryota; Metazoa; Arthropoda; Insecta; Hymenoptera; Apidae. The record is from RNAcentral.
CUCGUUCUAAAGAAAACUGGAAUCUAUUAAAUUCAUUCAUCAAAUUUCCGAAAGAGGAAACUUAUCUUGAAACAGAGUUCUAUUUUUGUUGAACUACGAUCGUAAGAAUAGAUUACGAGAAAUUGAUUUUAUCAAGUCGAUAUUUAUUUUCACCUUACAAUUGAUUUGACAGAGAAAUGUACGUUUGAAAGAAAGUUCUUUUUAAUUUAUAAAUCUGUGCUAGAUUCCAGAACCGUCAUGUUUGGAAUUUUUAAUAUUUCCGGAAUAUAAACACGUGUGCAUUUACUAGUAACAAAUUCGUAAUCGCUACGUUUAUCUCAAUAAAAAGAAAAAAAAAGAAUACGA